GAUGAACGCUGGCGGCGUGCCUAAUACAUGCGAGUCGAGCGAACAGAUGAGGAGCUUGCUCCUCUGACGUUAGCGGCGGACGGGUGAGUAACACGUGGAUAACCUACCUAUAAGACUGGGAUAACUUCGGGAAACCGGAGCUAAUACCGGAUAAUAUAUUGAACCGCAUGGUUCAAUAGUGAAAGACGGUUUUGCUGUCACUUAUAGAUGGAUCCGCGCCGCAUUAGCUAGUUGGUAAGGUAACGGCUUACCAAGGCAACGAUGCGUAGCCGACCUGAGAGGGUGAUCGGCCACACUGGAACUGAGACACGGUCCAGACUCCUACGGGAGGCAGCAGUAGGGAAUCUUCCGCAAUGGGCGAAAGCCUGACGGAGCAACGCCGCGUGAGUGAUGAAGGGCUUCGGAUCGUAAAACUCUGUUAUUAGGGAAGAACAAAUGUGUAAGUAACGAUGCACGUCUGGACGGUACCUAAGCAGAAAGCCACGGCUAACUACGG
Molecule: ribosomal RNA, 496 nt
Filed under: uncultured bacterium
Lineage: Bacteria
Description: partial 16S ribosomal RNA
Rfam family: Bacterial small subunit ribosomal RNA
Source: RNAcentral